RNAcentral lists this non-coding RNA (117 nucleotides) under Nomascus leucogenys (northern white-cheeked gibbon). The record is from Rfam by way of RNAcentral. Lineage: Eukaryota; Metazoa; Chordata; Mammalia; Primates; Hylobatidae.
GCCGGGUGCAGUGGCUCACACCUGUAAUCCUAGCAUUUUGGGAGGCUGAGAUGGGUGGAUUGCUUGAGGCCAGGAGUUCAAAACUAGCCUGGCCAACAUAGUGAAACCCCAUCUCUA